GCAUAACGCGAAGAACCUUACCCACCUUUGACAUGUACGGAAUCCUUUAGAGAUAGAGGAGUGCUCGAAAGAGAGCCGUAACACAGGUGCUGCAUGGCUGUCGUCAGCUCGUGUCGUGAGAUGUUGGGUUAAGUCCCGCAACGAGCGCAACCCUUGCCAUUAGUUGCUACAUUUAGUUGAGCACUCUAAUGGGACUGCCGGUGACAAACCGGAGGAAGGUGGGGAUGACGUCAAGUCCUCAUGGCCCUUAUAGGUGGGGCUACACACGUCAUACAAUGGCUGGUACAAAGGGUUGCCAACCCGCGAGGGGGAGCUAAUCCCAUAAAGCCAGUCGUAGUCCGGAUCGCAGUCUGCAACUCGACUGCGUGAAGUCGGAAUCGCUAGUAAUCGUGAAUCAGAAUGUCACGGUGAAUACGUUCCCGGGUCUUGUACACACCG
RNAcentral lists this ribosomal RNA (438 nucleotides) under uncultured bacterium. Its description in RNAcentral is "bacterial SSU rRNA". It matches the Rfam family "Bacterial small subunit ribosomal RNA", at positions 954 to 1392 of the family's 1533-position model. The record is from RNAcentral.